RNAcentral lists this small nucleolar RNA (134 nucleotides) under Castor canadensis (American beaver). RNAcentral describes it as "Small nucleolar RNA SNORA51 (ENSCCNG00000009033.1)". It matches the Rfam family "Small nucleolar RNA SNORA51". From Rfam's summary of the family: ACA51 is a member of the H/ACA class of snoRNA that guide the sites of modification of uridines to pseudouridines. Lineage: Eukaryota; Metazoa; Chordata; Mammalia; Rodentia; Castoridae. The record is from Rfam by way of RNAcentral.
GACCUCCUGGUGCUUACCAUAGGCUGUGUUCUUUCACUGACUAUAUAGAUAAAGAGGAGGAAAUGUAAACCUACCCCAUAUAUACUUCAGUUGAGACCCUGUGGCUGAUCUUUUUUGUGAAUGGGAAGAUCAGA